Clupea harengus (Atlantic herring) is the source of this 1671-nucleotide long non-coding RNA. Lineage: Eukaryota; Metazoa; Chordata; Actinopteri; Clupeiformes; Clupeidae. The record is from Ensembl.
GCCCCAGUAGACUGCUAGCUGAGGAGGCUCAAUAUAAAAAGCCCAUAUGUACACUUUGUACAAGUUACAGGGUGUUGAGUGGUUAGACUUUGUCUAGUUGUGUGCUUUGUCUGACAACCAUGCUUUCUAGGACUUCUUUGUGGAGGGUAGGCCUGUAUUUCCUGCUGGCUGUUCCUCUGAGCUCCUCAACAAGAUACUAUGGUUCUGAUGAGGCAAGCUAUAAUGGCCCUUCCCAGAGCCAGUGGGGAAAGCGAUCAGACGACUCACUGACCCCAGCUCGGGCACGUCAGCAUCAAGGCCAUUCGUCAAGAGGAUACGCCACAGUAGCCGUCAGACCUAGCAGCAGCACGGCUAAGAGCCAAUACUCCAAAUCUGGCACUGAAAGCAGGAAGCCUAGUCUCUACCCUCUUCCCCAAGGCGGGCAGAAAGAUCUACCCACGAGUGGAAGUUCGUACAGAGAAAAUGUCCCCUACAAAAGCCCUCCCACCUCCUGGAAGGUCAGACCUGAUUCCUCCAAGAGUUAUGGCCCUUCUGUGAAGGCACCUAAAAGGGGGUCGACCAGUGCCAUGAGCGACCGGUCUAUGAGCAGCACACACUACAGGCCUGCUACGCCACCAGCAAAGGCUUCCAUCGGCUCCGGUCAGUACAGACCACAUGGAGAUAAACCUACCUUUGGCAAAUCUAAGGAAACCAAACAGGUGCGUGUUAGGCCCCACCACUCGUUUUCGUCCGCUGAACUUUCCUCUGGCAGUUUGGGGUUCCCUCAGCCCCAGUUGGCCAAAACUGAAGUCUCCUCUCCUUAUGGCCAGAGGGGCUCGGCAACAUCCAAGAGUUCCCAUUCUCAAAGGUCAUUCAAGGCUGUCCCUCAAAGCCAAACGGAAUAUAGGAGUGGAAACAUUGGCUACCCUAGCGGCUACACGAUGAAGAAUAAUGGCCGGAAUACUGGUUACUCCAGCAGUGUUUUGCCUCAGCAGCAGGAUGAUGAUGAUGAUGAUGAUGAUGAUUCCUCCCUCACCACCAUCCCCAGCGUUCUUGGCAAGGGCGUCAUCAUGACGAUAUCGGCAAACGGACGGCAGAUAAAGACUGGACAGGGCGUGCCUAAGUUUAGGCCAGGUCCCCCACCUCAGACCGCUAAUCCAUCCUAUGGGUCAACGGGUGGUUAUAAAAGGUGGAGAGUGUAACUGUGGCAUCAGGAUUCUAGUCUGAUGGGGACCUAUCUAUGGCAGAAACCUCUACUUUACCUGCUGUGAAAAAGGUGUCCAGGACCUGAUGACUUUGGUUUUGCUAUAAAUGUUCAUGAAGUGUCAAAUGUCUUGAGAAAUAAAAUCAUGAUGACCGUUACUCUUGUCUGCGUUUAGUGUUUAAAAAAAAAAAAAAAUUGUGUCUUUUUAAAUAUACGUCAAACAUUCACUUUCUUGCAAUUGAAUGACCUGCCAGGAGGUGUGUAAUUUGUUUAGCACAUGACUCCAGUGCCACCUACUGUCUUGCUGAAUUAUGGUGAAAUGUAUACUUCAGUGGAUCUUUUCACAGCACAACCUUGUGUUUAUUGUAUUAAUUUUUUUUUCUCGACCAUUUCAAUUAUAAACCGCAUGUCGUAGCCUAAAACAGACUACAUUUUGUGGUUGAACCAGAAGUCUUUUCCAUUGGCGCGUGCUCCAGCUGUUUCCAGAA